This 643-nucleotide ribosomal RNA is filed under the name uncultured Bacilli bacterium. RNAcentral describes it as "bacterial SSU rRNA". It matches the Rfam family "Bacterial small subunit ribosomal RNA", at positions 78 to 707 of the family's 1533-position model. The record is from RNAcentral. Lineage: Bacteria; Bacillati; Bacillota; Bacilli.
GCUUGCUCUUCUUGGAUGAGUUGCGAACGGGUGAGUAACGCGUAGGUAACCUGCCUUGUAGCGGGGGAUAACUAUUGGAAACGAUAGCUAAUACCGCAUAACAAUGGAUGACCCAUGUCAUUUAUUUGAAAGGGGCAAAUGCUCCACUACAAGAUGGACCUGCGUUGUAUUAGCUAGUAGGUGAGGUAACGGCUCACCUAGGCGACGAUACAUAGCCGACCUGAGAGGGUGAUCGGCCACACUGGGACUGAGACACGGCCCAGACUCCUACGGGAGGCAGCAGUAGGGAAUCUUCGGCAAUGGGGGCAACCCUGACCGAGCAACGCCGCGUGAGUGAAGAAGGUUUUCGGAUCGUAAAGCUCUGUUGUAAGUCAAGAACGAGUGUGAGAGUGGAAAGUUCACACUGUGACGGUAGCUUACCAGAAAGGGACGGCUAACUACGUGCCAGCAGCCGCGGUAAUACGUAGGUCCCGAGCGUUGUCCGGAUUUAUUGGGCGUAAAGCGAGCGCAGGCGGUUUGAUAAGUCUGAAGUUAAAGGCUGUGGCUCAACCAUAGUUCGCUUUGGAAACUGUCAAACUUGAGUGCAGAAGGGGAGAGUGGAAUUCCAUGUGUAGCGGUGAAAUGCGUAGAUAUAUGGAGGAAC